Molecule: ribosomal RNA, 819 nt
Filed under: Wolbachia endosymbiont of Varroa destructor
Lineage: Bacteria; Pseudomonadati; Pseudomonadota; Alphaproteobacteria; Rickettsiales; Anaplasmataceae
Description: bacterial SSU rRNA
Rfam family: Bacterial small subunit ribosomal RNA
Source: RNAcentral
UCUACCUAGUAGUAUGGAAUAAUUGUUGGAAACGGCAACUAAUACCGUAUACGCCCUACGGGGGAAAAAUUUAUUGCUAUUGGAUGAGCCUAUAUUAGAUUAGCUAGUUGGUGGAGUAAUAGCCUACCAAGGCAAUGAUCUAUAGCUGAUCUGAGAGGAUGAUCAGCCACACUGGAACUGAGAUACGGUCCAGACUCCUACGGGAGGCAGCAGUGGGGAAUAUUGGACAAUGGGCGAAAGCCUGAUCCAGCCAUGCCGCAUGAGUGAAGAAGGCCUUUGGGUUGUAAAGCUCUUUUAGUGAGGAAGAUAAUGACGGUACUCACAGAAGAAGUCCUGGCUAACUCCGUGCCAGCAGCCGCGGUAAUACGGAGAGGGCUAGCGUUAUUCGGAAUUAUUGGGCGUAAAGGGCGCGUAGGCUGGUUAAUAAGUUAAAAGUGAAAUCCCGAGGCUUAACCUUGGAAUUGCUUUUAAAACUAUUAAUCUAGAGAUUGAAAGAGGAUAGAGGAAUUCCUGAUGUAGAGGUAAAAUUCGUAAAUAUUAGGAGGAACACCAGUGGCGAAGGCGUCUAUCUGGUUCAAAUCUGACGCUGAAGCGCGAAGGCGUGGGGAGCAAACAGGAUUAGAUACCCUGGUAGUCCACGCUGUAAACGAUGAAUGUUAAAUAUGGGAAGUUUACUUUCUGUAUUACAGCUAACGCGUUAAACAUUCCGCCUGGGGACUACGGUCGCAAGAUUAAAACUCAAAGGAAUUGACGGGGACCCGCACAAGCGGUGGAGCAUGUGGUUUAAUUCGAUGCAACGCGAAAAACCUUACCACUUCU